UCGUCGCCGGUAGUCUAAGGUUUCCGACGGAAGGUCAGUCCGCGUCGGGUGAGUCGAGCCUAAGCCGAGGCUGAAGAGCGCAGGCGAUGGAUAGCAGGUCAAAAUUCCUGCACCAGUGUGUGGAGCAAAGCAGACUACCGCUUGAAGGUAGGCACCAGCGGGUGGAUGUUGGUGACUGCGGGAGAGGGGUCAAGAAAAGACUGCGGAGCGGUGAAGCACGCUGACCGUACCACAAACCGACACAGGUAGACGAGUAGAGGAUACUAAGGCGAACGGGAGAACCUCUGUUAAGGAACUCGGCAAAAUAGCCCUGUAACUUCGGGAGAAGGGGCGCCCCUGCAAGGGGGUCGCAGUGAAAGGGCUCUACCGACUGUUUACCAAAAACACAGGUCUGUGCUAACGCGCAAGCGGACGUAUACGGGCUGACGCCUGCCCAGUGCCGGAAGGUUAAGAGGAGCGGUUAACGCUGCGAAUUGAAGCCCCGGUGAACGGCGGCCGUAACUAUAACGGUCCUAAGGUAGCGAAAUUCCUUGUCGGGUAAGUUCCGACCCGCACGAAAGGCGUAACGAGUGGAGCGCUGUCUCAACAGGGGACCCGGCGAAAUUGAAGUACGUGUGAAGAUGCGCGUGACCCGCAGCAGGACAAAAAGACCCCGUGGAGCUUUACUGUAGCCUGUCAUUGCGUUAGGACUGCGUUUGUGUAGGAUAGCUGGGAGACGGAGGAGCUGGGGCGCUAGCCUCGGUGGAGUCAACGGUGAAAUACCAGCCUGACGUGGUUUUGACCCUAACCCUUCGGGGGACAGUGGCAGGUGGGCAGUUUGACUGGGGCGGUCGCCUCCUAAAAGGUAACGGAGGCGUUCAAAGGUUGGCUCAGGCUGAAUGGAAACCAGCCAGUGAGUGCAAAGGCACAAGCCAGCUUGACUGCGAGGCCAACGCGCCGAGCAGAGACGAAAGUCGGACUUAGUGAUCCUACGACUCCGAGUGGAGGGUCGUAGCUUACCGGAUAAAAGCUACCCCGGGGAUAACAGGCUAGUCUUGUCCAAGAGUUCACAUCGACGACAAGGCUCGGCACCUCGAUGUCGGCUCAUCGCAUCCUGGGGCUGGAUAAGGUCCCAAGGGUUGGGCUGUUCGCCCAUUAAAGCGGUACGUGAGCUGGGUUCAGACCGUCGUGAGACAGGUCGGUCUCUAUCCGCUGUGGGCGUCGGGAGUUUGAGAGGAUCUGCCCCUAGUACGAGAGGACCGGGGUGGACGGAGCGCUUGUGUGUCGGUUGUCGUGCCAACGGCACAGCCGAGUAGCAAUCUCCGGAGCAGAUAACCGCUGAAAGCAUCUAAGUGGGAAACUGACCUCAAGAUGAGACUCCCCAUCGCGAAAGCGAGUAAGACCCCAGGUAGACGACCUGGUUGAUAGGCGGGAGGUGGAAGCGCAGCAAUGUGUGGAGCUGACCCGUACUAAUGGUCGAGGGCC
RNAcentral lists this ribosomal RNA (1464 nucleotides) under metagenome. RNAcentral describes it as "bacterial LSU rRNA". It matches the Rfam family "Bacterial large subunit ribosomal RNA", at positions 1331 to 2925 of the family's 2925-position model. The record is from RNAcentral.